Molecule: long non-coding RNA, 1157 nt
Filed under: Homo sapiens (human)
Lineage: Eukaryota; Metazoa; Chordata; Mammalia; Primates; Hominidae
Description: HSALNT0376288
Source: RNAcentral
UAGCAACCUCCCUGACAAAUGACAGUAGCCUGAAAAAGUGAGGAAGUACAAUGUCAGAUGGUAUAGCCUGGAAAACGACAGUGCACAGAGAGAAAUAAGAUGUACGAGGUUCAUAGAAAAAAUGCGAUUAAAUAACCACACAUGGAGGUUGUAUGAAGAAGAAAUUCACAAAAGAUUCCAACUAUACAUAUAUAGGAGGUAGCAGACACUUUCUCACUACAUACUAUUGUGGACUUCUCAAAUGGAAAAUGACAGGCAUAUCUAUUAGACAGAAUUGAGGCACCAACAUGCAAAUUGUACAGUUGUUCUGGGCAACAAUUUCUUCCUAUGACAAUAACCCUGGAUGUGGGCUCUUGCUGUAAACGACAUCACAAGACCAUCAAGCACUUUCAAGUCCAGCUGAAGUAGAGUGAAAGAAAAUCAUUUCUGAGAGUUAUGAAAGGUCAUGAGUGAGGAAAUGCAUUCCAGGUACUCCCGAAGACAUUUGGACACACACGGUGAAUGACACAUGAAGAUGGAGGCAGAGAUCGGAAUGAUGUAUCUACAAGCGAUGGUCCACCAAAGAUGAUCAGCAAACCACCGGAAGCUGGGACAGAGGUCUGGAACAGAGCCUCCCUCACAUCCCUCAGAAGGAACCAACCCUGCCAGCACCUUAAUCUCACACUUCUAGCCUACAGAAUUCUGAGACAACACAUUUCUGUUGUGUACACAGAGACACAUAUUAAAUAAACCUUCUACAAGAGUAACCCGUCCAGAAAUGCAGCAAGAGGCUUCCAAAGGGCUAGAUUUAUUACAAAUUAAUCAAAUAGGUAAGAUGGAUCAUAAUGGAUAUUCCAGCCAAUGUAAACUGAGAGGAAAAGAAAAGCUCCGGCGGCAAGUCAAGAGCCAAAUGUUUCUGUUUUGAUUUAUUUAGCAUUUCCGAGAUGUUUCUUCUGUGGGGAACAAUAUGCAAGGCAUUGGAAAUUCAGAAGGCACAUCUUUUGUGUACCAUAAAAAUGUGCUGCUAACCUACAAUACCCUUAUAGAAAUACAAUUCAAUAAGAAACUCAGUUGGGAAGAUGUCUCAAUAGAACAACAUGAAAAAAAUGGUCAAUACAAGAAUGAUUCACUUUACUUUUACAAGGGAUUUCGAUGCUACGAAUAGAAAUGCCUUUGGA